AAUCUGCCUUGUUGUGGGGGAUAACGUAGGGAAACUUACGCUAAUACCGCAUAAGACCGUAAGGUGAAAGCGGGGGAUCGUAAGACCUCGCGCGACAAGAUGAGCCGAUGUCGGAUUAGCUAGUUGGUGAGGUAAUGGCUCACCAAGGCGACGAUCCGUAGCUGGUCUGAGAGGAUGAUCAGCCACACUGGAACUGAGACACGGUCCAGACUCCUACGGGAGGCAGCAGUGGGAAAUAUUGGACAAUGGGCGCAAGCCUGAUCCAGCCAUGCCGCGUGGGU
RNAcentral lists this ribosomal RNA (281 nucleotides) under uncultured bacterium. Its description in RNAcentral is "partial 16S ribosomal RNA". It matches the Rfam family "Bacterial small subunit ribosomal RNA", at positions 123 to 406 of the family's 1533-position model. The record is from RNAcentral.